RNAcentral lists this ribosomal RNA (433 nucleotides) under uncultured bacterium. RNAcentral's name for it is "partial 16S ribosomal RNA". It matches the Rfam family "Bacterial small subunit ribosomal RNA", at positions 29 to 507 of the family's 1533-position model. The record is from RNAcentral.
AACGAACGCUGGCGGCAUGCCUAACACAUGCAAGUCGAACGAGACCUUCGGGUCUAGUGGCGCACGGGUGCGUAACGCGUGGGAACCUGCCCUUAGGUUCGGAACAACCCCCCGAAAGGGGCGCUAAUACCGGAUAAUGUUCCCGGAUCAAAGAUUUAUCGCCUUUGGAUGGGCCCGCGUUGGAUUAGCUAGUUGGUAGAGUAAAAGCCUACCAAGGCGACGAUCCAUAGCUGGGCUGAGAGGAUGAUCAGCAACACUGGGACUGAGACACGGCCCAGGCUCCUACGGGAGGCAGCAGUGGGGAAUAUUGGACAAUGGGCGAAAGACUGAUCCAGCAAUGCCGCGUGAGUGAUGAAGGCCUUAGGGUUGUAAAGCUCUUUUACCCGGGAUGAUAAUGACAGUACCGGGAGAAUAAGCUCCGGCUAACUCCGUG